GGCCCCAUGGUCUAGCGGCCUACGACUCCGGCUUCUCAGGUCGGCACCGCGGGUUCGAAUCCCGCUGGGGUUA
Molecule: transfer RNA, 73 nt
Filed under: Paenarthrobacter sp. YJN-5
Lineage: Bacteria; Bacillati; Actinomycetota; Actinomycetes; Micrococcales; Micrococcaceae
Rfam family: tRNA
About the family: Transfer RNA (tRNA) molecules are approximately 80 nucleotides in length.
Source: Rfam by way of RNAcentral